GACAACAAAUUGGUAUCAGAGCUUAACUCUCUAGCUUUGUGUUUAAAUACCUUAAGAGGGUUCCUAUGGCAAAUGGAAAUGCAUACAUAUCCGUUUAGCUGAAGGCUAUUCCAUUACAAGAUCUCCAUUGUUCAAUGGAACUAACUAUUCCUUUUGGAAAGUUAGAAUUUAAACAUUAUUCAAUCUAUUGAUAUAAAUGCUUGGUUGAAUAUCUUGAAUGGUCCAUUUAUACCUUCUAAGAAAGUAGGAGAUGCACAAGUUAUUGAACUUGAAAGUGAAUAUGCUACAUAUACUCAACUCAACUCAACUAA
This 311-nucleotide unclassified non-coding RNA is filed under the name Hevea brasiliensis (rubber tree). The record is from RNAcentral. Lineage: Eukaryota; Viridiplantae; Streptophyta; Magnoliopsida; Malpighiales; Euphorbiaceae.